AACGAGGCAAUAACGUAUUCUAGCUACUGAGAAAUCUUUUUCAACCACUAGAUGGUACUAUUGGCCCCUUGUGGAAUUUGCCAGUGCCGGUCCAGGGCUUGCUGGUCAGUAAUUCUACUGGGUUUUCCCAGAAUAAAGUGAGAUUUAUUCCCAGAAUAAAGUGAGAUUUGAUCAAUAAACUUACGAAAGAAGUAAAGUUGUUUGUUCUCUUUAAUCUUCAAAUAGUAUCCCUCUUUGUGGAGCAGGAGAAAAAAGAAAUCAUUCACUCCUAGUGUUGCAAUAAUUGAAAGCUGGAUGCUGGGGACAAAACCCAGACUCCUCUGGCGGUUGAGUGCCCUAGCUCCUAGGUACACAGGUGCUGGUUCAAUAAAAUCGACUGUGUAGCCAAUUGUGGUAAAUGUUGACCUGGGGCACCUGGGCCCGGAUUCAGGAGUAGGAAAUUCAGGAACGGGAAGCUGAUGUUGGAAAAGCUGAAGCUACAGUUCUGCUACAACUGGAAUUCCAUGAGAGUCCAUGAAAGUUGUCCUGGGAUUCUCACCCAACAGGUGGAUGCUUACCCGGGGAAGCAGGGCCACAGGCCUGGUGAUCAGGCAGGAGCAGGAGGCACACAGCGGGACCUGCAGAGUUGCUAGUGUGUCUGGUAGGCAGAGCAGUGGCUUUUCCCCUUGGCUCCACUGUCCUUGAUUUCUCUGGCUCUGCAUAAGCAGGGAGCUGUGGGCACACAUUUCUUAUCCCCUGCAGUGUUGAGCACAAGCACUUUUCAUGAGAUGAGUACCAUCAAAUAAAUACUUUAUUAACAAUGGAAUGAUACAGCGUCCGCUCUGAUUUCUUGACACCCUCAUCCUUUCGUGGUGUGGCUGCCACACCUGUCAUUCUGAACACAACUCUCCGUCCAGUUCUGGACCCACCUCUGCCUCCUCCUCCUGUUACUGAGUCCAAGAUCUCUCGGCUAGCCACAAGAUAAGUCAAUGAAUCUGAAACAAAGUGUUAGGAUCAGGGAGGGACUUUAUUUAGGAAUCACCUAACUAAGAAGAUGGCAGGCUAGCAUCUCAAAAUAACCAUCGUAUCAGGGCCUGGUUGCCAGGUUCUUUUAUGGCUCAGAGAUGGGGGGAGGUGAAGAAACAAAGCAAAAAGACUAUUUGAUCCUUGCAGCUGUCCCCUAGAAUGGCAGGGGAAUGUGUUGGUUUCCCUUCCUUACAGUCCUUCACAGGUGGGUGGCUCAGGUUAUCUCCCUGAGGCAGGGCAUUAUAAUAACGAAAAAGGGUUAAAGUCACAGAAGCGGAUCCAGUGGGAAUUUAAAAUUAACCCUACCCGGUCAUCCUCCCCCAUCCCCAGGCAUGAGCA
Molecule: long non-coding RNA, 1344 nt
Filed under: Capra hircus (goat)
Lineage: Eukaryota; Metazoa; Chordata; Mammalia; Artiodactyla; Bovidae
Description: lncRNA (ENSCHIG00010012238.1)
Source: RNAcentral